AACGUUCUUUUACUUAAGCGUUAAAGAAAGUUUCCAAAGUGAUUCUAUUCACCACUGUAAGUUGUACUGAUAUAAGAGGACAUCACGGAGUGUGAGGUAGAAUGAACCCAUCAACCAAAUCACUGUCGAUAGGACCUUGAGACUCUACUACUCCUUUUACUCUCCAACGAAGCAACGAAUUGGCUCGAUCGAUUUUUCUCGCACCAUAUGAGAUGGACGAGAAUCGAUGAUAAAUCAUCAUCGAGAUUCGUAACAACAGCGAAGAACUUAAUUAUGAUCGAGCUGUGAGAAUUGAGAUUGUUCUACUGAUGUAUGUGAAGCAGUACUAUUCUCUAUCACUUGCAUACGGGGAUGUUAUCAGAAGGACCACUCACCGGAAUGCUCAGCAGAGGAAAGCUCGCUACCUUGUCGUCAACAAAGGCUGCUGUCAACAUGGGGGGAGUCGGCACGAGGCACCUAAUCGUCGGAGGAGAAUCCGACGGGGAUUUCGGGUGUCAAAUCGUUGCCAUGAUCUCCCAAGAGAACGUUUUUGUGACUGCAGAAUUGAGAUGGGCAGCGAGGAGACGCCGACGCCGACGCCGGUUUUGGCGGCACGUUUAUAGAGUUUAGGAGCUGUGAAUGGCUGGGAGAUCACGAGGACGAAGGUAUGAGGCGUGGGCUGUUUCAUCAAAGGUGUUCGACCUUUGAACAUGUGGCAGCCGAAUCCAGCGUUUGGUGAAUGACACCGAGAGGAGUUGAUGUUUUUGCUCCUUGCCGGUGCAAGGUCGGAUCCCAUGAUGGCACUGAUAUCUAGUUGUGAUGGGACCUAAUGGAUUGUUUACUAUGGAAUUAAUUCAUGAUUUUGAUGGCAUCGGAUUGGGAGAUCUUACCAUCUACGAUCUGGAUUGGUGAGACUGUCUGAUCCACCGCUGUCGUCUCUCUCGAGGCAGCAAAGGACGCUGUAAAUGCCACAGAAGAAAGCAUGAGGUGGGGGUGAAAUUGGCGAACGAGACAAGGGCAGUUGCUGCGGCAUCUUCCUCCUACAAGAAUACAAGCACGAGCGGCUUCCGCGAUGUCGUUGCCGGUUCUUGUUUGUUUGCUUCUUGGUGGUUUGGUUUCGGGCUUUUCUUGACUUUGAACUUGGACAUGGAGCAAGUCCCACCGCCCCACUCACGUAUCGGUCUCGAAAGAGACCGGUGUGAGAGUAAAUUAAGGGAGAGGGGAGAGGG
This 1208-nucleotide long non-coding RNA is filed under the name Musa acuminata (dwarf banana). RNAcentral describes it as "long non-coding RNA (MACU_LNC004166)". Lineage: Eukaryota; Viridiplantae; Streptophyta; Magnoliopsida; Zingiberales; Musaceae. The record is from RNAcentral.